Molecule: unclassified non-coding RNA, 396 nt
Filed under: uncultured Pseudomonadota bacterium
Lineage: Bacteria; Pseudomonadati; Pseudomonadota
Description: uncultured proteobacterium contains 16S-23S intergenic spacer region
Source: RNAcentral
UCAUAUAGUUAAAUAGCAGUCCCCUAAAACCUUAAAAACAUCGUUUUUAAGACAACUUAGGGCGAGGGUUGCGCUCGUUAAAGGAAUUAACCAAACAUUUCACAACACGAGCUGACGACAGCCAUGCAAGACCUGUUAGGGGAGUUCUAACUUUUAAAUUUAUAAUAAAAGUUACUAGCUUGCUAAACUAGCAUUAUCCCCUUCUGUCCUGAAUUGGUAAGAUUUUGCGCGUUGUAUCGGAUUAAACCACAUGCUCCACCGCUUGUACAAAUCUCAGUCAAUUUCUUUGAAUUUCAACCUUGCGGCUGUACUACUCAGGCGGAGUGUUUAACGCGUUAGCUAAGACACCGAGAUACCUCCCGACAUCAAACACUCAUCGUUUACGGCAUAGACUAC